UACGUAGGGGGCAAGCGUUGUCCGGAAUCAUGGGGCGUAAAGCGCGUGUAGGCGGCUGACUAAGGCCGCUCUGAAAGCCCGGGGCUCAACCCCGGGAGGCGGGUGGAUACUGGUCAGCUCGAGUCCGGAAGAGGAGUGUGGAAUUCCUGGUGUAGCGGUGAAAUGCGCAGAUAUCAGGAGGAACACCAAUGGCGAAGGCCGCACUCUGGGACGGUACUGACGCUGAGACGCGAAAGCGUGGGGAGCAAACAGG
This 253-nucleotide ribosomal RNA is filed under the name uncultured bacterium. Its description in RNAcentral is "partial 16S ribosomal RNA". It matches the Rfam family "Bacterial small subunit ribosomal RNA", at positions 524 to 776 of the family's 1533-position model. The record is from RNAcentral.